This 432-nucleotide ribosomal RNA is filed under the name uncultured bacterium. RNAcentral's name for it is "bacterial SSU rRNA". It matches the Rfam family "Bacterial small subunit ribosomal RNA", at positions 343 to 791 of the family's 1533-position model. The record is from RNAcentral.
UGGAGGCAGCAGUGAGGAAUAUUGCAAAAUGGGCGAAAGCCCGAUGCAGCAACGCCGCGUGCGCGAUGAAGGCCUUCGGGUCGUAAAGCGCUUUUCGAAGGGAUGAGGAAGGACAGUACCUUCGGAAUAAGUCUCGGCUAACUACGUGCCAGCAGCCGCGGUAAAACGUAGGAGGCAAGCGUUAUCCGGAUUUACUGGGCGUAAAGCGCGUGCAGGUGGCUGCGCAAGUUGGAUGUGAAAGCUCCCGGCUCAACUGGGAGAGGUCGUUCAAUACUGCGUGGCUGGAGGAUGGUAGAGGGAGGUGGAAUUCCGGGUGUAGUGGUGAAAUGCGUAGAUAUCCGGAGGAACACCAGUGGCGAAAGCGGCCUCCUGGACCAUGCCUGACACUCAGACGCGAAAGCUAGGGUAGCAAACGGGAUUAGAUACCCCGGU